ACCAAGAGAGUCUGCUCCAACUUCAGCCCUGUGUGGACCAUCUCUGCGUGUUUCUACACAUCUCCCCCAGUUUCUUUACUGAUCCACAGAAUAUAGCUGUGUUAAAGGGUUGCAAGACGGGAGCCAGCAUCUUUGCAAAGGGAGCUCGUGGCCGUUCUCAGCAGGGAACGCUGGCGCGAGGAGCAAAGGCGGUGCGGAACUCAGGAGACAAAGCCAAGACCGCAGCACUGAACGGACAGAGGCCGGUGCGCGGGGGUACAGGGACGCGCGCAUACGUCUCUCGGACCCUGGCUAGGAGGCCAGGCUUCUGGACCUUUCACAGAGGUCCACUGGAACCGGUUGCCAAGCCGGCGACCCCUUGCUGUCAUUUCCGACUCCCCCAAGACGUUGUAGGGAGUGCUCAGUAAACUUAAGGGCAGGCGUGGAAUUCCUGGGCUGACAGUGGUUUGGGGCUCUUGGAAAGGUCCGGGCUGAAGGGAGCAAAGAUUGGAUUAAGUAACUACGUCCGGGUUGCGGGGAAAAAGAAGUCAUGGAGAAUUUGAUCCAGGAGAGAGGCAAGCGUUACCUUGCAUCUGGGAUGAGCAACAGCCCAUGUCGAGUGGAUCAGAGAGGAGGAAACGCUGCACUGUGAGGGACUGGUCAGGAUAUGCAGGGCUUUGUGCCAUGGCAGAGACUGGGGAAGAGGUGUCAGCAGAGGCCUCAGGGUUCUCAGACAUGAGUGACUCAGAGUUUCUAGAGUAUCUGGAUCUGGAAGAUACUCAAGAGUCAAGUGCUUCACUUAGCAAGCCUGGCCCUUCUUCCGAACUCCCUGGGAAGGAUAGCAAGCUCAUAAGCUUACCAACGUGGAAAAGAAGAUUGGAUGUCUCAUCACCAAUGGAGCGAUUCCACCUUAAAUAUUUGUAUGUCACUGACCUGUCUACUCAGGAUUGGUGUGAACAGCAAAUGGUAUAUGAGAAGGAGCUUCCUGGUUUCUUGGCUCCUGAGAAGGCAGCUGUUUUGGACACUGGUGCCAGCAUCCACCUAGCUAGAGAACUGGAAGUCCACGAUCUUGUGACUCUCCCCAUCACUACUAAAGAAGAUGCUUGGGCAGUUAAAUUUCUGAAUAUAUUAUCAAUGAUUCCUGUCUUGCAGUCAGAGGGACGUGUCAGAGAGUUUCCAGUGUUUGGAGAAGUGGCGGGUGUGCUGCUCGUUGGAGUAAUUGAUGAGCUGCACUAUACAGCCAAGGGGGAACUGGAACUGGCUGAACUGAAGACACGCAGGCGCCCUAUGCUCCCUCUGGAAGCCCAGAAAAAAAAAGACUGUUUUCAAGUCAGCCUGUACAAAUAUAUCUUUGAUGCUAUGGUUCAAGGGAAAGUGACCAGCACUAGCCUAAUCUACCACACAAAAUUAUGUCCAGACAAACCACUGGGACCAUCAGUGCUGAAGCAUGCCCGGCAGGGAGGCUUCUCUGUGAAGUCCCUGGGUGACCUCAUGGAGUUAGUCUUUUUGUCUCUAACUCUGUCUGACCUCCCAGUUAUUGAUAUCCUGAAGAUUGACUAUAUCCACCAAGAGACUGCCACUGUGCUGGGUACAGAGAUGGUGGCCUUUGAAGAGAACGAGGUGAAAAGCAAAGUGCAGCAUUAUAUGGCCUAUUGGAUGGGCCACCGAGAGCCUCAAGGGGUUGAUGUGGAGGAGGCUUGGAAAUGCCGGACAUGCAGCUAUGCAGAUAUCUGUGAGUGGAGGAAGGGCGGUGGGAUGCCCAGCUCCAUUCCAGAGCACCAGGCCAAAAGAGUGAAAUGAACAGAAGGGUAUGCCUUCUUCAGGAACUUUGAUCUUUCCUGCUCCUAAUGUACUCAGCAGAAUGAAAGAGGACCAGUCUUUGAGCUUGGCUUUCAUGGAGAAUGUUCUUACUUUGGUUCUUUCCAUAUUUCCUCAAAUUCUAACCAUUCAAAUCAUUCAGGGGUGAGUGGGAGAAAUCUGGGAUUCUAUGAUCUCUGGAACUAUGCUGCGAAUUGCCAAGAAGACACUUGCUCAGCGUGGCUGGAGCAAAAGGCGCAGCUCUUGGGAAGCCACAGAGAUACCAACCCAGGAAUCUCCCCCAAAGAGGCAGAGGCUUCCGAUGCCUUCCGGAAACGAGCU
RNA transcript from Mustela erminea (ermine), 2118 nucleotides. It is a transcript of the gene named exonuclease 5, with no coding region annotated. Lineage: Eukaryota; Metazoa; Chordata; Mammalia; Carnivora; Mustelidae. The record is from RefSeq and is a predicted model, not a curated record. The transcript is spliced from 6 exons.